RNAcentral lists this ribosomal RNA (421 nucleotides) under uncultured Bacteroides sp. Its description in RNAcentral is "bacterial SSU rRNA". It matches the Rfam family "Bacterial small subunit ribosomal RNA", at positions 356 to 774 of the family's 1533-position model. The record is from RNAcentral. Lineage: Bacteria; Pseudomonadati; Bacteroidota; Bacteroidia; Bacteroidales; Bacteroidaceae.
GAGGAAUAUUGGUCAAUGGGCGAUGGCCUGAACCAGCCAAGUAGCGUGAAGGAUGACUGCCCUAUGGGUUGUAAACUUCUUUUAUAUGGGAAUAAAGUGAGCCACGUGUGGCUUUUUGUAUGUACCAUACGAAUAAGGAUCGGCUAACUCCGUGCCAGCAGCCGCGGUAAUACGGAGGAUCCGAGCGUUAUCCGGAUUUAUUGGGUUUAAAGGGAGCGUAGAUGGAUGUUUAAGUCAGUUGUGAAAGUUUGCGGCUCAACCGUAAAAUUGCAGUUGAUACUGGAUGUCUUGAGUGCAGUUGAGGCAGGCGGAAUUCGUGGUGUAGCGGUGAAAUGCUUAGAUAUCACGAAGAACUCCGAUUGCGAAGGCAGCCUGCUAAGCUGCAACUGACAUUGAGGCUCGAAAGUGUGGGUAUCAAACA